CCUCAUGGCCCUUAUGGGUAGGGCUACACACGUCAUACAAUGGCCGGUACAAAGGGCAGCCAACCCGCGAGGGGGAGCCAAUCCCGUAAAGCCGGUCGUAGUCCGGAUCGCAGUCUGCAACUCGACUGCGUGAAGUCGGAAUCGCUAGUAAUCGUGGAUCAGCAUGUCACGGUGAAUACGUUCCCGGGUCUU
Molecule: ribosomal RNA, 192 nt
Filed under: uncultured Hydrogenophaga sp.
Lineage: Bacteria; Pseudomonadati; Pseudomonadota; Betaproteobacteria; Burkholderiales; Comamonadaceae
Description: partial 16S ribosomal RNA
Rfam family: Bacterial small subunit ribosomal RNA
Source: RNAcentral